GUGGGAUUGGGAGGAAAUGAGGGAGCGGGAUACAGCUGGGAUACAGAGUUAACAAAAUGUAACUAAUAAGAAAAAAAAAGAAAAGAAAAGAAAAGAAAAGAAAAGAAAAGAAAAGAAAAGAAAAGAAAAGAAAAGAAAAGAAAAGAAACCCAUGUCUUUCUGGGUGGCCUUGAACUCUGUAACCAAAGCUGGCUUUGAACUUGCCUUCCUCCCGAGUAGCUGGCGUUGAUGAGAAUUCCAGGAAAUAAGCUGUGUCUGCAGAGACUGGUUAGCUGUAGUGACGUGAGGAGUCGGGAAUGCUGCAGGACCAGAGGUUUGCUUUAUCUCCAAUGAGCUUGAGCCCUUGGACCAGCCAUUAUUUGCCCACCUCUGUAUCAGAACUAACAUCCUUUGACUAACAGAUAAAAACCUUUCGGGAAUCUAUUAAAUUAGCAGACUACUGGACGUCCACCAACCCAAAGGACCCAGGCAUGGCCACAGACACAGGACUGCAGAGUCAGCGACACCACCGUCAGCUUUACAUAAAGCUUGCUGAUGCUGAAACUGUGGCACCUAAAUACAGCAGCUUCUGUCUAUCAGAACCUUUAUGGCGCCUGGAUGCAGCAGCUUCUAUCAGAACCCUUAACAAAUCCCUAGGAACACUGCUUUACUGGAUUCGCUAGAAGGGGUUCAAGAACAAACGUCCAGAAGAAGAACCCAUCCUUCCUGGAGGCCGGAAGAGACAGCUGAUCAUGAGAGGGUAUGGAAGCAACGGCGAUGCCUACGGAGAAGUCCUUACUGCUUAUCAAUCCCAAAGUAAAAUAAGCCAACUUGAGGUCACUACAUUAUGCCUGCUUCAACCACAUGACAGCCUGGAAGGGGCAGAGUACAGAGAGAGUGAAACAAGAGGUUUCUCUGUGUAACCUUGGCUGUCCUGGACUCACUUUGUAGACCAACCUGGCUCUGAACCCACAGAUCUGCCUUCCUCUGUCUCCUAAGUGUUGAAAUUAAAAUGCAUGCACCACCACCA
Meriones unguiculatus (Mongolian gerbil) is the source of this 1009-nucleotide long non-coding RNA. RefSeq lists it as uncharacterized. NCBI's taxonomy places the organism in Eukaryota, Metazoa, Chordata, Mammalia, Rodentia, Muridae. The record is from RefSeq and is a predicted model, not a curated record. The transcript is spliced from 4 exons.